CGCAGUCGGCUGUAUUUGGAGGUCGUCGGUGGUUCUGCUGCUGGCUGCUGCGUGGUGGUUUCAACCGCUGCCGACGUCGGCGAGUUGAUAAUCCGCCGGCGGACACUCAACACCGGUCGCCGCGAAACGCUGCCAGUCGUUGGUUGUCGCAGCUGCCAGUCGGUAGUCAAAAGUGGUUCGUUCGCGGUACAUGGAAUUAUAUUGAAAACAAACACUGAAUUUAGCAUUUUGUGUAUUUUAAGAUACAUAUUAAACGUUUUUUUGCAACUCGCUGUUUUGGUGUUUCGUAUUUUUGUUUUCGUGCCUUUUCCGGCGGUGUGCAGUCAACAACAAUUCAAAAGCGCGCUACAUGCUAUAAACAAUAAUAAUAAUCAUAUUGAAAAUAUUAAAGUAUUGGUUAAGCAUAAGAAAUCUACUAAAGCCUUAAAUAAAUUAGUACUGUUUGGCGCUUGUUGUGUAUUGUGUUUUACUGUGGGCAUUUGGGCAUUGGGCAGUGGGAAGUUGGGCUUUUCGAAUUGAAAGGAAUGGAAAGGAAAGGAAACCCUUCGAAAGGUGCUUUCUCUCGCCAUCUCGGCAAGAUCAAGUUGACCGCUAAGUGGGCCAACAACCGCAAAAAUGCAGUCAGGCAUUUUAAUUGAAGGACGUUCGAGUGCAAAAUAAAUAACACGCAGGCAUAACAAGUUAUUUGCCUGGCUAUUAGUUUGCGCUAGUUUUGCUUUGUCCACCAAUCUCGUUGACAUUGAAAGCAAUACAGAGCACAGCGUAGAGUGGAAAUUGCUGUAAUUAUGCCAAAUUGAACUUUAUAAAUGUAAUGGAAAACAACCAGUAAACAUAUAGAAUAAGCUAAACUGAUAUAUAGACUAUGCUACGAAUUAAAACCCUUCAGUAAUACCCUUGAAAAUAUUUAAAACUAUAUUUAAAAAAUUAUUUCCAACCUAGACCCUACAAAAAAAGAAAAAAAAGCGAGAGAGAGUUGCUGGCGAGAACAUUUUUGGUGUCAAUGUCGCAGACACCUUCGAGAUAAUGAAUGGGCCGGAAAAAUACGCAUCAGCCACGGUGCUUGCAUAAUGCUGAUGGGCUUCUUCGAUUAGCAGAUUCGCAAAUUGAAGCCUGCAUUGCUGCUUGGUAUCUUCGGACUUUGGCAAUGCGAUUCGACCGCAUGCCAAUGUGAUUGCAUAAUCUGAAUCCCCAACAUUCCCACUUGUUUUUAUUUUUUUUUCUCUGGCAGAUGCGCAGUUUGCUGGUUUUUUUGGUAUCCACAAACUGGUUGGGCUUUUGAUUAAAUAUUGUGCAAGAGAGUUGGUCAGCUCGAAGACUGAUGAUGCGUGCUGGGCGUCGUCCGCUGAUUUGCUGGCUUCUCAAUGGGUUUAUUGUGAAAGUGGCGAAACGAAAGACUCAAGACACGAACGCGACGGGGAAAGCACUGGCCGAGAAAAGGGUGCCGCUGUUCAAGGGCAAAUUGAAUAAAAGAAGAGAAGGGUUGCCAUUCAUAGCUAGUUGAAAAACCUUUAAAAAUACUAAGUACUGGCCUUUAAAAAUAUUGCCCAAAUUUUAAAAUUCGAAAAAAAAUAUAUAUAUAACAAUGUAAUGCCAUAUGCACCUAAUCUGUUUAUAAAAUUUGAGUUUGUUUGAAGUGGCAUUACAUUUCCACACCUAUAUGAUAUCAUUGGACCCGUUUCGUUAACCUCUUUGUCUGUGCAAACACUCCCUAUUAUUUAUUUUUUGUACGUACUCUUCAACAAAAUGAUGAUGACAAAAGCCUGUUACCCUGAGUGCAACACCUUUGAUCUUCUUUUAUGGUUUCUUUUUAUUGUCUGCGCUUUUGUUUGCUUUGUCCAACUUGGCUUUUUAUUAUUUUUAAAUGGGAUUUUUCAUUUCACGGGCACUUUGAAAGAGGAAAAAUCACCGAGCCCACUUCACACACAAAAAACAAAAAAAAAAAAAAACUGUUGAAAAAAUCGUUUACGACUUUUUGUCAACGUGAUUUUUUGGUGUCGCCUGUCAGUUCGUCGCGUUUGUUAUGCGGCGCGUGAUUUGACUUUUGGCAAUUAUCGUUCCGAGGAGACUAGCAAGCGAUUAUGAAACAUGUCUCGUCUGCAGAGUUCCUCUCUCUGUCUUUCUUUUUUUUUCAGCAAUUUGCAAAUUGUUUUAGCUGAACUCGUUUUUAUUUUCUGCCUUUUUAUUUCAAUUUUUUUUUUUUGCUCGCACAUCUUGCGGACUCAUCGAAAGUUGAAACCGAUUAUCCAGACAGGCUUGCAUACAGACACAGUGCAUGUGCACUUAUGAAUAGGCAUGAGGCAAUAGCCGCUUCAUACAAAACAACUAGAUAGAGCCAGGCUGACAUUUAACAAAGGCAAAAAAAGAAAUAUAAAAAACAGAUGAAAAAGAAGCUCGGGCUAAUGACUAAGCACAUAACGAGCAAUUCUACAAGUGACAUUUGAAAGAGCAUCGAAAGGCGGAUGGAGAGGGGCAAAUAAAUGCAUUUAUAAUUGCCUUGGACAUGCUGAAGAAUUUUUCCAUUCGACAAUCAUUUGCUGUAACCUUUGCAUUUCAAGCAAAAUUAGUUUUGUAAAUAAUCAAGUCAUGAAAUAUGUUCACGAUCUAAGAAACAAUCAGGAACUGCCUGGGAAUGGCAAUAUAAUAAAGAAAUUAAACUAUACCAAAGACUUUCUAACCAAAUCUGCGAAUAUGAAACUUGUAAAUGUACUGAAAACAAGAAAAUAUAUGUUUAUAAAAUAAAUGUUACACGAAUUAUAUACAAGAGUUUUCCAAUUUGAAAACCUACAUGUAUUAUAUAUACAUUUGCGGGGUGUUAAGGUGGGGGGAAGUUGUUUGUGUUCUGUUGUGGCAAUAAUAAUUUGUAUAGUUCGUUUCUUUUUGUUCAUUAUUUUAUUGUUGUGCAUAAAUAUUUUACAACUAAAGCUAGACUUAAAGUAUUUUCGGAUAGAGAGGGAAAGAGUGAAAAAAAUUAUUCGGAAGGAGAUAGAAGUAAAAGAGAACUGCGCCUGGUAAAAGCCAUUUAAAGUUAUUUCAAAUCGAUUAAGUUUGUAUCCACUGAGGGUCGUUGCGUUUCUAGAUAACUAUGUAUCUAUAAUUUUCUAGAAUAUCUGUAUUUGAACCAAGGAAAGACUUCUCUCGCAUCUGCAUGUGUGAACAAAUGUGUGUGAGUGUGGAUGUGAAUGUGUGGGUGUUGUUGUUUUGGGUAUGGCAGCUCGAAGAAUACGAAUUGUUUAAAUAAUUUACACAGC
Non-coding RNA from Drosophila melanogaster (fruit fly), 3248 nucleotides. Lineage: Eukaryota; Metazoa; Arthropoda; Insecta; Diptera; Drosophilidae. The record is from Ensembl.